CAAAACCGAUUUUAUUCUUCGGCUUCGUGAAAUGAACAGAUGUAAAGAAGAUUAAAGAAAUAAUAAAAGUGAACAGUAUUUUACAGCAAUUUUGUUUUUCUGGAUAGAUCAAUGACAGAAUCAUCUUACCACCCAUAUCUAUCCUUCACGUGCUACUAGUCUGAAGGGCAUAGGAUGGAGGUAUAAUUUUAAUAAAAUUUCCAACCCUCAAUAGCUGUGCCAAUCCUAGAGCUAUGCUAUAAUAGAUAUAGCCAGGAAAAGAAAUUGUUAGAAGUAUGAAUACAUUUUCCACAAUACACUAGACAAGAACCAUUGUCACUGCAGUUCAAAUGUAAAAGUGAAAAAGAUUUUCUGGCGCUGGUUUGGUAUACGUAUAGCAGCAAGGACUUCCCAAAUCUCAGUCUCUUCCUUCUUGCCAUAGUUAUACAUAAAGUAAUACUGGGAAGUAGCGCUUCAAACAAAAUCCUCAGUUUCAGAUCCAGAUUUAGCAGUAUGGAAAGUAAGAGAGAAC
This is a non-coding RNA of Pelobates cultripes (western spadefoot toad), 511 nucleotides long. Lineage: Eukaryota; Metazoa; Chordata; Amphibia; Anura; Pelobatidae. The record is from the annotation of a GenBank genome assembly.